UGCUUCUUACUGAAAGCUUCUCUGAUCCUCAGCCAGAAGUGCUUCUUCCCUCCUGCAGUACCUGGGACAGACCCCCCAGUGAGGAUGGGGGAGACCCCUCCCUCCUGGGGGAUGGGCCCGGGGCUUGAGGUGGGAGAGGAGCGGCCUGGGUUGGCGAGACCCUUCCUUCUCUGGGCAGGAGGCCCAGAAAGUCAUGUUAUGGUGGGUCUUGGAGGGUAGGAGCUUUCCAUGUGAUCCCAUAGGCAGUGGGGGGACGGCAGUGACAGGCGGUGAGGAUGGACAGAAGCCGAGGGCAGGAGGAGAGGAGACAGCUGGAAAUCCCAGAGACGAUGCGGGGUGUGAGCAUGGGAGAGAGAAUGUGGGGCUUCAUAGAGGCGGCUUCUAGAAUUGACUUUUUUGCUGACUGUGGGGUCAGGGCUGAGAGAAGCGUCAAAGGCCCAAUGUCCAGGUGUCCCUAGCCGGAGAGGUGGGGUUCAAAUCAGCCUCCUUCGGGUCCAUGCAGCGUGGCACCAUGGUGGCUGCCAUGCCCUGGCUGGCUGACCUCAUGCAAGGCACCGCAUUUCCUGACCUAUGCACAGGGCAUAACAAGCGUGCCCACCUUAAGGGGCUUCGUGGGGUCAAACAAAGCAAUGGGUGGAAAGUUCAGGGAACCCCUCAGUGCCCUGGGCUCACACCACCAGUCUCUGAGUCUAUUUCCUUACCUGGAGUAGAUGAGGUUAACGUGCCUGCCUUGCAGGCCCAGGUAUGGAAAGCAUUCAGCACAUUUGGGGUAAGAGUUCGAAAGCCUAGUAACUAGGGGGCUUACCCCUUAAGCCCAUGGGAACUGCUGUGGGAUCCCCGUGGUCAGCCUGGGGUUGACAUCUGGGGUGUUGCAGGGGCGCCCCCUGAGGGGCUGUGCACUGUCAGCCAGGGAGGGCCUGCCAAGUUAUGAUGUCCUGCCCUCAGAGACAUGGGUAGGGAGGAGGCUAGGAGGGGAGGGACCCCGCCCCUAGCAGCCUCCGGAGACUGAACACAGGCCCAGGUGCCCACCCAGCAGAGAGCUGCCCCCAGCUUCCAGCCCUGGGUCCAGCAGGAUGCAGAAGCAGCCCCUGCCCACUGGAUGGGGGGCAGGUGGUAGGGGUGCCCAGGUGCCCCUGUGCCCUUCUGCCAGCCAGGCCUGGAGGCCCCAGGAGUAACGAGAUAAUCACAGCAAUUGCAGCGAGAUAGGACUGUCUGCUUGUGGAGCACUGAGAUGCUGGAGCAGGCGGGGGGCCGGGAGAGUGGCAGGAAGCUUCCUCAGGCAGAGUCGCUCGUCCCACCAGCCGGGGUGCCAGGACUCUCAUCCUGGAACCCUGCACUCCCACCCAGCCCUAGUCUUGGUGUCCAGGAAGGGCUCUGAGGCCUUUUGCUCAAAUGAGCCCAUCAUCUAAUGAGGGAGAGGAGUGUGGGUGGGGAGCUCUGCGGGCUGCCUGGAACUGACUGUUUAGAGUUCAGGUUAUCUUUGUUUACCACUGAGAAAACAUAAAGCUGAACACAGGUAUUAACUGUGCCCACCUGCUCCUGCCAUUGAUUCGCUCAUCCAGAGUUGCAGCCCAUGGCACCAGCAAUAAAGGAAAUUGCUUUUGAAGUUGACAGAGGCUGGGAAUGAAGCUCCAAGACCGACUGGCCCGUCUCUUCCAGGUGGCAGCUGGGUCCCUCCCCACCCACCUGUCCCCCAAAGCCAAAGACACGUAGUUGUCACCAGGGAGCUGGGAAGCAGCCUCCAAUCCUGACGUGUGUUUUUUUCCAAGAGACCCUCUGCUGCCCAGGAUUAUAGGCUCACACCUAUAAUCCCAGUACUUUGGGAGAUCGAGGCAGGAGGAUCAUUCGAGCCCAGGAAUUCAAGGCCAGCCUGGGCAACACAGGGAGGCCCCCAUCUCUACAAAAAAAUAAAAAAUUAGCCGGGCAUGGUGACAUGCAUCUGUGGUCCCAGCUACUCGGGAGACUGAGGUGGGGGGAUCGCUUGAGCCCAGGUCCAGGCUGCAGUGAGCUGAGAUUGCACCACUGAACUACAGCCUGGAUGACAGAGCAAGACCCUGUCCCCAAAAUAAAAAUAAAACAAAAGACCUUGUGCCUAUGUCUCCCAGCCCAACACGGGGCCAUCUGCCAGGGCUGCAGCAUGAGGGCAUGAGGAGAGAUGCUAAGCAGGACUUCCUGAGGACCAGCAUCUGCAGCAUGAGGCAGGGUGUACACUCUCUUCCCGACAGUUCUCUGGGAAAGCAGUGUCAGGCCUGGGGAAUCAGAACUGGACAAGAGGCCUUCCUGCCCCAGGCACGUGCUCAUCUGCAAGCCUUCCAAUGACCUAAGUAGGGGAACCUGCUAAGAUGUUCCUCCACCAAGGGGCUUCUCUGCUUUCAGCACCCAGACUCCCACUUCCCCAGGUCGAAGGACCUCAGAGAGGCAGAUCAUUACCCCAAUGCCUCCCAGCUCCGUCUCCCACACCCUUGCCCUCGUCACACCGGGCCACAGCGUCCCUGUGCCUGCAGACUCUUUCCCUACUGGGAAGCCAGGGUCCUCGCCUGGGUUCUCCUUCUUCAAGGUUGGUGUAGUGGAGUGAAUGGUGUCCUCCAAAAGAUACAUACACAUCUGGAUCCCCAGAACCUGUGAAUGGGACCUUAUUUGGAAAAAGGGCCUUUUGCAGAUGUAAUUAAAUUAAGGAUUUUGAGAUGAGGAGGUCAUCCUGGAUUAUCAGGUGGUUCCUAAGUGCGAUGACAAGUGUCCUUAUAAGAGACACACGGGGAGAUGGACACAGCAGAGCAGGAGACAAGGUGAUGGUGCAGACAGAGCCUGGAGUGACGCGUCUACCAGGAGCGCCAGGGACUGCCAUAGCUCCCACCAGCCAGGAGAGACCCCUGGAACAGACACACUCAGCAGGUGGGGAAGGCCCUGCCCCUGCCUCGAUUUUGAACUUCUGGCUUCCAGAACUGUGAGAACCAAUUUCUGUUGUUUGAAGCCCCUCAUUGUGGUCACGUGUCAUAGCAGCUUCAGGAAACAAAUGUAGCUGGUGUUCUGGGAUGUCACCCACACCCCCAACGUCCACGACAGCCAUAAACUGUUGAUGGCAAGUCUGUCCCUCCAGGAUGGUGUCCAUCCAAAUUUCAGAUCUCUAUUCCCAGUGGCGCCGUGGGCAGUGUGGUAUAAUAUGAAAAAUAUCUGGUCUUUGUUCCUGGGUCCUGGCACAGAGUUCCCAAACCCUUGGAAUUUUCUGAGUGAUGGAAGCCUCUUUUGUUAUUGAUAAGAAGCCCUUUCCAUACCACUUGAGUUUCUGCUAAUGAGGUGACUUAUGGUCAAAGGCAGUUCUGCACUCCUACCGAUGCUCCCUUUAAGUACAUGCAAAUUAAGGGGCAGAUUAUGCAGACAUUUCUAGAAAAGGGGUGGUAACUUCCAGGUCAUCAGGUCAUUGCCAUGGGAAGGGGUGGUAACUUGGGGAUCUUGCCAUGAAAGGGGUGGUAACUUCCGGUUGUUGC
This 3485-nucleotide long non-coding RNA is filed under the name Homo sapiens (human). Its description in RNAcentral is "HSALNT0128933". The record is from RNAcentral. Lineage: Eukaryota; Metazoa; Chordata; Mammalia; Primates; Hominidae.